This is a long non-coding RNA of Fukomys damarensis (Damara mole-rat), 374 nucleotides long. RefSeq lists it as uncharacterized. The transcript is spliced from 3 exons. The record is from RefSeq and is a predicted model, not a curated record. Lineage: Eukaryota; Metazoa; Chordata; Mammalia; Rodentia; Bathyergidae.
CACGGUGGGAGGAGCUGGGCUUCAAUGAUGGGAGGAGAUUGUGAUUGUUCCCAACGGGCUAAGCAAACCCUAAAAGAAGGCAAGCCUUUAAAUUUAUUCCUGUCUGGAGGGGCCAGGUAUCCUCAACAAAGUUCAUGUGGGAUGGGCUUCAGAAGCCAGGGAUUGAAGGACUACCAUGAGUAGUUGCUAGAAAGGACAGGCCAACCGUACAGCAUCCUUGUGAUCAGAUGGAUUUGGUGGCUGACAGGAAAAGACAGGCGAGCAGCAGGGCAUGUCUGCUGAAGGCCGUGUAGGACCCAGGGGACAUGCGUGCCUUCACCUACCUCCCCGCUGGCUGGCUGGGGAAGGGAGAAUUAUUGACAUUUGUUGUUCUC